RNAcentral lists this transfer RNA (87 nucleotides) under Candidatus Latescibacterota bacterium. Its description in RNAcentral is "Latescibacterota bacterium tRNA". It matches the Rfam family "tRNA". From Rfam's summary of the family: Transfer RNA (tRNA) molecules are approximately 80 nucleotides in length. Their secondary structure includes four short double-helical elements and three loops (D, anti-codon, and T loops). The record is from Rfam by way of RNAcentral. Lineage: Bacteria; Pseudomonadati; Candidatus Latescibacterota.
GGAGGGCUAGUCCUAACUUGGUAAGGCACCGGACUUGAAAUCCGGCUUCCAGCAAUGGAAAUGUGGGUUCGAAUCCCUCGCCCUCCG